CACACGGCCGCGGCCGCCGGGAGGGCUCGGCAGCGCAGCGGGGCGACCGUCCGGCGGGAGGGAGCCCUGAGCCGAGCCCCCGGCAAGGGAAGGAACGAAAAUGGACAUCUCGCAGCUUCCCAGUGCACGUAUUUUCCUUUGUCAGGAUAUGGGACUUCUGCUGAUCCUUAUGGAAGUCGUACUUUCAGCCG
Long non-coding RNA from Empidonax traillii (willow flycatcher), 191 nucleotides. RefSeq lists it as uncharacterized. The transcript has 3 exons. NCBI's taxonomy places the organism in Eukaryota, Metazoa, Chordata, Aves, Passeriformes, Tyrannidae. The record is from RefSeq and is a predicted model, not a curated record.